AUCAUGGCUCAGAUUGAACGCUGGCGGCAUGCCUUACACAUGCAAGUCGAGCGGCAGCGCGGGGGCAACCCUGGCGGCGAGCGGCGUACGGGUGAGUAAUGCAUCGGAACGUGUCCUCUUGUGGGGGAUAACCAGUCGAAAGACUGGCUAAUACCGCAUGAGAUCGAGAGAUGAAAGCAGGGGACCCGCAAGGGCCUUGCGCGAGAGGAGCGGCCGAUGCCCGAUUAGCUAGUUGGCGGGGUAAAAGCCCACCAAGGCGACGAUCGGUAGCUGGUCUGAGAGGACGACCAGCCACACUGGGACUGAGACACGGCCCAGACUCCUACGGGAGGCAGCAGUGGGGAAUUUUGGACAAUGGGGGCAACCCUGAUCCAGCCAUGCCGCGUGUGUGAAGAAGGCCUUCGGGUUGUAAAGCACUUUCGGACGGAACGAAAUCGCGCGAUCUAAUAAGUCGCGUGGAUGACGGUACCGUAAGAAGAAGCACCGGCUAACUACGUGCCAGCAGCCGCGGUAAUACGUAGGGUGCGAGCGUUAAUCG
Molecule: ribosomal RNA, 538 nt
Filed under: uncultured soil bacterium
Lineage: Bacteria
Description: bacterial SSU rRNA
Rfam family: Bacterial small subunit ribosomal RNA
Source: RNAcentral